This is a non-coding RNA of Gossypium raimondii (Peruvian cotton), 118 nucleotides long. Lineage: Eukaryota; Viridiplantae; Streptophyta; Magnoliopsida; Malvales; Malvaceae. The record is from Rfam.
UGUUAAAAAUUUCAUCCAUUUGUAUUAUAAAAAUUGGCGUGGCUAACAAAAUAAAUAUAUCUCAUGUUGAUGUAUAUAGACAAUUUUUUUACAAUAGAAAUGGAUGAAAUAUUUAGCA